Molecule: ribosomal RNA, 427 nt
Filed under: uncultured bacterium
Lineage: Bacteria
Description: partial 16S ribosomal RNA
Rfam family: Bacterial small subunit ribosomal RNA
Source: RNAcentral
UGGGGAAUAUUGCACAAUGGGCGCAAGCCUGAUGCAGCCAUGCCGCGUGUAUGAAGAAGGCCUUCGGGUUGUAAAGUACUUUCAGCGGGGAGGAAGGUGUUGAGGUUAAUAACCUCAGCAAUUGACGUUACCCGCAGAAGAAGCACCGGCUAACUCCGUGCCAGCAGCCGCGGUAAUACGGAGGGUGCAAGCGUUAAUCGGAAUUACUGGGCGUAAAGCGCACGCAGGCGGUCUGUCAAGUCGGAUGUGAAAUCCCCGGGCUCAACCUGGGAACUGCAUCCGAAACUGGCAGGCUUGAGUCUUGUAGAGGGGGGUAGAAUUCCAGGUGUAGCGGUGAAAUGCGUAGAGAUCUGGAGGAAUACCAGUGGCGAAGGCGACCACCUGGACUAAUACUGACACUGAGGUGCGAAAGCGUGGGGAGCAAACA